Small nucleolar RNA from Lycium barbarum (goji berry), 215 nucleotides. RefSeq annotates it as small nucleolar RNA U3. NCBI's taxonomy places the organism in Eukaryota, Viridiplantae, Streptophyta, Magnoliopsida, Solanales, Solanaceae. The transcript has a single exon. The record is from RefSeq and is a predicted model, not a curated record.
ACGACCUUACUUGAACAGGAUCUGUUCUAUAGGCUCGUACCACUGUAUCCUUGAGUUCUACGGAGACAGGAAAUCAAGUCUGGUUGAUGAAUUCUGGCCGUUAGGCUAGAGCGUGAUUAAUCACUUCUGUGACCCUCGGGUCAUGGUGCCGUAGAUGAUCGUUCUUAGCUCCGAUUUAUAGGUGUUGGGAUGGUCUAAUGGUUGUCUGACAGACU